Molecule: long non-coding RNA, 427 nt
Filed under: Nicotiana tabacum (common tobacco)
Lineage: Eukaryota; Viridiplantae; Streptophyta; Magnoliopsida; Solanales; Solanaceae
Description: long non-coding RNA (NTAB_LNC001589)
Source: RNAcentral
GUGGAGGAGGAGGCGGCAUUCCUUGGGGAAUAGGAGGAGGCAGAACCAUAGACAUUCCGGGCUGGGACAUCGGGAGGGCAACAAAGGGUCGAGGUGCUCCCAAAGGUGUAAACUGUGAUCCAGGAGGUGGUGCAAUAGGAUGGCCAUGCGAAUUCAUGGCCAUUGAUGGAGGCAUUGGUGGACGAUUUACCAUGAGAUUUUGCUGACCUAGCAUCUGUGGGAUGGGAGGAGGUGGGGGCCGAACCUGAGGAAUCAUGUUAACCAUAGGAGGUCGAGGUGGAGGCGGAGCAGCAACCCCAGCACUGGCGGAGGUGGAAUACUGGACUGUAUUAGGAGGCCUAGGAAUAUUCAGCGCAAGCCCAGGAGGUGGAGGUAGUGGCCUAACAGAUGGAAAACCAGGCCUCGGAGGUGGAGGAGCCUGCGGACC